UGAGGAAUAUUGGUCAAUGGGCGAGAGCCUGAACCAGCCAAGUCGCGUGAAGGAAGAAGGUUCUAUGGAUUGUAAACUUCUUUUGUAAGGGAAUAAAAAGUAGUACGUGUACUAUAUUGUAUGUACUUUACGAAUAAGGAUCGGCUAACUCCGUGCCAGCAGCCGCGGUAAUACGGAGGAUCCAAGCGUUAUCCGGAUUUAUUGGGUUUAAAGGGUGCGUAGGCGGACCCUUAAGUCAGUGGUGAAAGUU
This 250-nucleotide ribosomal RNA is filed under the name uncultured bacterium. Its description in RNAcentral is "partial 16S ribosomal RNA". It matches the Rfam family "Bacterial small subunit ribosomal RNA", at positions 355 to 602 of the family's 1533-position model. The record is from RNAcentral.